UACGUAGGGUGCGAGCGUUAAUCGGAAUUACUGGGCGUAAAGCGUGCGCAGGCGGCUUUUUAAGCCAGAUGUGAAAUCCCCGGGCUUAACCUGGGAACUGCAUUUGUGACUGCAAGGCUAGAGUACGGCAGAGGGGGGUAGAAUUCCACGUGUAGCAGUGAAAUGCGUAGAUAUGUGGAGGAAUACCGAUGGCGAAGGCAGCCCCCUGGGUCGAUACUGACGCUCAUGCACGAAAGCGUGGGGAGCAAACAGG
RNAcentral lists this ribosomal RNA (253 nucleotides) under uncultured bacterium. RNAcentral describes it as "partial 16S ribosomal RNA". It matches the Rfam family "Bacterial small subunit ribosomal RNA", at positions 524 to 776 of the family's 1533-position model. The record is from RNAcentral.